GACAUCCAGAGAACUUAGCAGAGAUGCUUUGGUGCCUUCGGGAACUCUGAGACAGGUGCUGCAUGGCUGUCGUCAGCUCGUGUUGUGAAAUGUUGGGUUAACGUCCGCAACGAGCGCAACCCUUAUCCUUUGUUGCCAGCGGUUCGGCCGGGAACUCAAAGGAGACUGCCGGUGAUAAACCGGAGGAAGGUGGGGAUGACGUCAAGUCAUCAUGGCCCUUACGGCCAGGGCUACACACGUGUUACAAUGGCGCAUACAAAGAGAAGCGACCUCGCGAGAGCAAGCGGACCUCAUAAAGUGCGUCGUAGUCCGGAUUGGAGUCUGCAACUCGACUCCAUGAAGUCGGAAUCGCUAGUAAUCGUAGAUCAGAAUGCUACGGUGAAUACGUUCCCGGGCCUUGUACACACCGCCCGUCACACCAUGGGAGUGGGUUGCAAAAGAAGUAGGUAGCUUAACCUUCGGGAGGGCGCUUACCACUUUGUGAUUCAUGACUGGGGUGAAGUCGUAACAAGGUAGGCGUAGCGAG
This 526-nucleotide ribosomal RNA is filed under the name uncultured bacterium. RNAcentral's name for it is "bacterial SSU rRNA". It matches the Rfam family "Bacterial small subunit ribosomal RNA", at positions 983 to 1509 of the family's 1533-position model. The record is from RNAcentral.